Bos taurus (domestic cattle) is the source of this 538-nucleotide long non-coding RNA. The record is from Ensembl. Lineage: Eukaryota; Metazoa; Chordata; Mammalia; Artiodactyla; Bovidae.
UGCCAUUUCCUUCUCCAGGGGACCUUCCCAACCUGGGGAUUGAACCCAGGUCUCCCACAUUGCAGGCAGACACUUCACGCUCUGAACCGCCAGGGAAGCCCUUUCAUAGCAAUUCCUGUCAGUGAGGUCAGACAUACGACAGAGGACGAGAUGGUUGGAUGGUUGGAUGGCAUCACCAACUCAGUGGACAUGAGCAAGCUCUGGGAGUUGGUGAUGGACAGGGAAGCCUGGCGUGCUGCAGUGCAUGGGGUCACAGAGUUGGACACGGCUGAGCGACUGAACUGAUUGAAGUGCAGUUGAUUAACAAGGCUGUGUGAGUUUCAGCAGGGAAAGUGGAAACCGGCGUGGACUGAGAAGGCGCAAAUCCGGCCGGCCGCCUGUGGGUCUGGAAUGACAGAAGCAGAGCCAGCUGCGGAGGAACCGGGAAGCCAUUCUCCUGCAGCCAGAGACCCUGCAGUUGUAAGACGCCAUAACUCACUUUUUUCCUACUGAGACACAGCUCUGUGAAAACCAGUGGCGACCCUUUGCUGCGUUAGAG